Molecule: transfer RNA, 73 nt
Filed under: Bacteroidales bacterium
Lineage: Bacteria; Pseudomonadati; Bacteroidota; Bacteroidia; Bacteroidales
Description: tRNA-Trp
Rfam family: tRNA
About the family: Transfer RNA (tRNA) molecules are approximately 80 nucleotides in length.
Source: RNAcentral
ACGGGUGUAGUUCAGUUGGUAGAACAACGGUCUCCAAAACCGUAGGUCGGGAGUUCGAGCCUCUCCGCCCGUG